This 90-nucleotide non-coding RNA is filed under the name uncultured Methanomethylophilus sp. The record is from RNAcentral. Lineage: Archaea; Methanobacteriati; Thermoplasmatota; Thermoplasmata; Methanomassiliicoccales; Methanomethylophilaceae.
AACCCCGCCAGCGAUGGCGGACUGAACCGCAAGGAGUCAGCAGAGGCCAUAGUACCGUAAGAACGUCCCGACGGAGGUUCUGGGAAGGGC